This 253-nucleotide ribosomal RNA is filed under the name uncultured bacterium. RNAcentral's name for it is "partial 16S ribosomal RNA". It matches the Rfam family "Bacterial small subunit ribosomal RNA", at positions 524 to 776 of the family's 1533-position model. The record is from RNAcentral.
GACGGAGGAUGCAAGUGUUAUCCGGAAUCACUGGGCGUAAAGCGUCUGUAGGUGGUUUAAUAAGUCAGUUGUUACAAAUUGAGGCUUAACCUUAAAUAAGCAACAGAUACUGUUAAACUUGAGUAUAGUAGAGGUAAAAGGAAUUUCCAGUGGAGCGGUGAAAUGCGUAGAGAUUGGAAAGAACACCGAUGGCGAAGGCAUUUUACUGGGCUAUAACUGACACUCAGAGACGAAAGCUAGGGUAGCAAAUGGG